UAUCUCUGUAGAGUCUGCAUAUCAAUAAGCGGAGGAAAAGAAACUAACAAGGAUUCCCUUAGUAACGGCGAGUGAAGCGGGAAGAGCUCAAAUUUGAAAUCUUCAAGGUUUUACCUUGACGAAUUGUAGUUUAAAGAAGUGUUUUCUGUUAGAGUUUGAGUAGAAAAGUUCCUUUGGAAUAGGGACAUCAUAGAGGGUGAGAAUCCCGUAUUUGGUAUCAUUAUUCCAGCUUUGUGAUACACUUUCAAAGAGUCGGAUUGUUUGGGAAUGCAGUCCAAAAUGGGUGGUAAAUUUCAUCUAAAGCUAAAUACUGGCGAGAGACCGAUAGCGAACAAGUACCGUGAGGGAAAGAUGAAAAGAACUUUGAAAAGAGAGUUAAACAGUACGUGAAAUUGUCAGAAGGGAAGCGUUUGACACCAGUGUUGUUUUUCCGAAAAUCAAUUACGAAUGGCUUGAUUCUGUGUUGUAUUGACCUUAUCAGCUUUCUGCACUUUUUUUCGAGUCUUUCUUAAUGCACUUUUCGGUUAACAAGUCAACAUCAAUUUCUUUUGUUGUAAAAGAGUAUUUGGAAGGUGGCUUUCUUUUCGGAGAAAGUGUUUAUAGCCCUAUACUUCUACAAUCGGAGAGAUUGAGGUCUGCAGCGUAGAUCCUUCGGGGUUAGAUACAUUUGUGCUAAGUUGUAGCUUUUCAUAGACAACUUGUUGACUAUGUUUAGUCAUGCGGCUUACUCGCUUAUGCUAUUUUACCUACGCUUAGGAUGUUGAAGAUGUAGCACAUCAU
Molecule: ribosomal RNA, 780 nt
Filed under: uncultured Neocallimastigales
Lineage: Eukaryota; Fungi; Neocallimastigomycota; Neocallimastigomycetes; Neocallimastigales
Description: partial large subunit ribosomal RNA
Rfam family: Eukaryotic large subunit ribosomal RNA
Source: RNAcentral